RNAcentral lists this ribosomal RNA (499 nucleotides) under uncultured bacterium. RNAcentral describes it as "partial 16S ribosomal RNA". It matches the Rfam family "Bacterial small subunit ribosomal RNA", at positions 28 to 507 of the family's 1533-position model. The record is from RNAcentral.
GACGAACGCUGGCGGCGUGCCUAAUACAUGCAAGUCGAGCGAAGUUUUUCUGGUGCUUGCCCUAGAAAAACUUAGCGGCGAACGGGUGAGUAACACGUAAAGAACCUGCCUCAUAGACUGGGACAACUAUUGGAAACGAUAGCUAAUACCGGAUAACAGUAUUUCUCGCAUGAGAGAUAUUUAAAAGUUGGUUAUGCUAACACUAUGAGAUGGCUUUGUGGUGCAUUAGCUAGUUGGUGGGGUAAAGGCCCACCAAGGCGACGAUGCAUAGCCGACCUGAGAGGGUGAUCGGCCACACUGGGACUGAGACACGGCCCAGACUCCUACGGGAGGCAGCAGUAGGGAAUCUUCCGCAAUGGGCGAAAGCCUGACGGAGCAACGCCGCGUGAGUGAAGAAGGAUUUCGGUUCGUAAAGCUCUGUUGUUAGGGAAGAAUGGAUAUGUAGUAACUAUACAUGUAAGAGACGGUACCUAACCAGAAAGCCACGGCUAACUACGUG